AGUGAACGCUGGCGGUAGGCCUAACACAUGCAAGUCGAACGGCAGCACAGUAAGAGCUUGCUCUUACGGGUGGCGAGUGGCGGACGGGUGAGGAAUACAUCGGAAUCUACUUUUUCGUGGGGGAUAACGUAGGGAAACUUACGCUAAUACCGCAUACGACCUACGGGUGAAAGCAGGGGAUCUUCGGACCUUGCGCGAUUGAAUGAGCCGAUGUCGGAUUAGCUAGUUGGCGGGGUAAAGGCCCACCAAGGCGACGAUCCGUAGCUGGUCUGAGAGGAUGAUCAGCCACACUGGAUCUGAGACACGGUCCGGACUCCUACGGGAGGCAGCAGUGGGGAAUAUUGGACAAUGGGCGCAAGCCUGAUCCAGCCAUACCGCGUGGGUGAAGAAGGCCUUCGGGUUGUAAAGCCCUUUUGUUGGGAAAGAAAAGCAGCAGGUUAAUAACCCGCUGUUCUGACGGUACCCAAAGAAUAAGCACCGGCUAACUUCGUG
RNAcentral lists this ribosomal RNA (492 nucleotides) under uncultured bacterium. RNAcentral describes it as "partial 16S ribosomal RNA". It matches the Rfam family "Bacterial small subunit ribosomal RNA", at positions 29 to 507 of the family's 1533-position model. The record is from RNAcentral.